RNAcentral lists this ribosomal RNA (321 nucleotides) under Triticum aestivum (bread wheat). RNAcentral's name for it is "partial small subunit ribosomal RNA". The record is from RNAcentral. Lineage: Eukaryota; Viridiplantae; Streptophyta; Magnoliopsida; Poales; Poaceae.
AUGGGCUAUUUCCCCAUGCCCGCACACACACUCGAGGGCUGGACGCGAGUACAUGAGCUAAUCAAUUCUAGGUCCGUUGUGUUGUCUUGGGGUGUGAUCAGAGUUUUGGGGGAUCAACAGAGUUUAGUAACGGAUAGCAGAGUUUUGCAAUGUCCGCACUUUCAGAAAGGGAGGGCGUGGUCCUGUUUCACCUCCACGAGGCUCCGCCAGUGCCAGUAUGUGACUCAGCAGUCUCUACAAUCGAAGGAGAUACUCUCAGAUAUAGGCAGUGCCAUCCGCACAAAGAAACAUACGCAUGAUCUAGGAAUAUCAAAUAAAUAA